This 253-nucleotide ribosomal RNA is filed under the name uncultured bacterium. Its description in RNAcentral is "partial 16S ribosomal RNA". It matches the Rfam family "Bacterial small subunit ribosomal RNA", at positions 524 to 776 of the family's 1533-position model. The record is from RNAcentral.
UACGUAGGGGGCAAGCGUUGUCCGGAUUCAUUGGGCGUAAAGAGCGUGUAGGCGGCCAGGUAGGUCGGUUGUGAAAACUGGAGGCUCAACCUUCAGAGGUCGACCGAAACCAUCUGGCUAGAGUCCGGGAGAGGAGAGUGGAAUUCCUGGUGUAGCGGUGAAAUGUGUUGAUAUUGGAAGGAACGCCGGUGGCGAAAGCGACACACUGGACCUUGGCUGACGCUGAGGCACGAAAGCCAGGGGAGCAAACGGG